Molecule: long non-coding RNA, 2471 nt
Organism: Rhinolophus ferrumequinum (greater horseshoe bat)
Lineage: Eukaryota; Metazoa; Chordata; Mammalia; Chiroptera; Rhinolophidae
Exons: 3
Source: RefSeq, a predicted model, not a curated record
GAGAAAAUGUCACGGUCAGGAGGAGCCUCAGCAGAGCUGGUGACUAAUGGUAACGUGGCCUCUGGGAUGGGAUGGCAAACAGAAAAGGGGCAUCAGGGAAAGACUAAGGAGACCCACAACAGUGUGUCAGUGACUGCUCAUUAUUUGUGACAACUGUAUCAUAGCAACAUGGGGUGUUAGCAACAGGGCCACCUGGGCCACCUGCGCGUGGGGUACACGUCAACUCUAAUAUCCUGGCAACUUCUCGGUACAUCGACAACGACUCUAAAAUUUAAAAGUUUAUCUUAAGAGCUGUACAGACGAUUCUGAGGCCCAGACAGAGACAGCUGUAUUAUGUAGAAGAUACUGAAGACAAUAAAAUAAUGAGCCGUCAGCGUGCCGAGAUGACCAGGGACACAGCUGACAAGAAGACAAAGUGAAAACGAAGCGUUUCCACUGCUGCGUGACUUCGGGCGAGUGACUCAACCUCUCUGCCUCGGUUUCCUCGUUUGCAGAAGGGGCACAAAAAGAAUCCCAAUUGUGGAGGCUGAUGAUGGCAAGUGCUUAGACUAGUACCUGGUACCAACUGGGUGUGCGGUUGGUUACAGGAGUCACUAGGAGACCCGGCCGAGGAGAAGAGCUAAGAGCUCCGGGUUUGAAGUCUGGCUGCCCCAGUUACCAAGUCUGUGACCCGGCAGGCGAGUGCCCAGUCUCCAUAGCCUGUGGGCCCCUCUUCCUCCUGUGUAAAGUCAGGGGAGGCUCCCUGCGGUGGAAGGAGCUGCAGAGAGGAUGGAACAGACCUUUCCAUGCGGAGCGCUCAGUGCAGGGCCUUGAACACAUCGGCACGCCAGCUGCAGUCAGAGGCCAAGGUCAGAAAAGCAGCAGCCUGGCCAGAGGCAGGGGCCCUGGGUCACAGACCAGUGCAUCGUGUCUCCCUCACCUGGCUGGUGGGGAUGCGAAGACUGUCCUACCUACUUUACAGGGAUGGCGUGAAAUCAGUGAGGCCCGACGUGGCAGGGCACGUCUCAGAGAGACUGAAUGGUUGUCUCUCCGACUCCACUCCUCAGCCCUCAUUCUGAGCAGGUCACCAGGUCACAAAACUCCCAACUUCAAGAAUAUUGCUUCGAGUGGGAAGCAGAGCCCGUCAGAGGACUGAGUGGAAGCUUCAGGCUGUUAGAGAGGUCAUUUUAGGGGAAGGGAAGGAGCAUCUCUGAGAAGCAGAGCGGGGCCGGCUCUCCAGAAGGAGAAAGGAAGAAGCCGUGAGUCCGAGAGCAGCCGGCAGCCGCGUGCACUGCCACACACUGUGGUGCCAAGGGGGUGGGGUGGGCACGGGCUCACCCACCGCCCUGGCAAAGAGGCCCAGUCCUGUGGCAGAACUGGGGUGCUGGCCUCGAAGGCCCAGUGGGUGUGGGGCUGAGGAGGCCUGUGGGACCAGAGGGGAGCGGUCCUGCCUGUUCUCCUGGCCCCUCCUACCCCCCAAAGCCAUCCUGCCCCUGAUGCGAGCCUGGAGCCUGGGGCUGGGAAGGGACGCCAGUCAUUCCGAAGGACAACCCGUCCACUCCAGUGGGCAGGGCUCGCAAUUAGAAUGAGGUCGAUUUAAAGAUAACCAAGAACAGGACGUUUCCUGAAUAACCGUGCUGCCGGGCUGACAUUUGAGUCUCUUACACACGGAGUCCAGUUUUAAGUGUGGAGUGCCAGAAACACAGUACAUGACACGGUUAUUAAUUACCUAAUUGUUGUGGUAUAAAAAUGCUUAGCUGGAGGGAACAGGAAAGGUUCGCCAGGGCCAGAAGGGUUUGGGCCGCAGCCCCUGAGAUCUGGCUUACCUCUUAGCAGGGUUGGUUGGGCCCUGAGGGGAGAGCCGCGGAAGGCCCUGGAACCCUGGCCUUGACUAUUGAGGUGAAACCAUUUCCUUGCCCUUCAGCUGCCCCCACACUUCCCACGACUGUGGCCUGCUGGACCUCCCUGAGGUUCCUGGACCCUUCCCUGUCCUCGGGGGUCCAGCGCCUAGGCCCGGGGCGCUCUCACAGUUCUGGGUGGACAACGGGAGAGGAAGACACAGAGGGAACCCCGGAGCCUGGACAUCGGGGCUCAGCCCGGCUUCCGGAGAGCUUUCCCAGCUGCUUCCUCUUGACGGCAGAGAAAGGGAGCGGCCACCGGGACACCACGGUCUCCAGAACCUUCCGCCCUCGCCAGGAACCUCGCACAUCUUUCUUUCACUCCUCAGUGCUUGGCCUGGACAUCAGUGAGGACCCACCUCAGAAGAGGGGUGGAACCAUCCCCUUUCAGUGUUGGGGAACUGAAGCCCCUUGUGAUUUGGGGACACAUUCUAAUCAUGAAUGGUAAUUUGGGGCCAGGGCACUGGGCCUCCCCUCUUGAGCUCCGUCUCCUGCCACCCAAGUUCGGAAGAUGGUUCCAGGGAGGCCCUCACUACCCCAGUGGAAGCCCAGCCGGCUCAGCGGGGAGACGGCUGUGAGAUACAGAAUGAACAC